AACGAACGCUGGCGGCAUGCCUAACACAUGCAAGUCGAACGAGACCUUCGGGUCUAGUGGCGCACGGGUGCGUAACGCGUGGGAACCUGCCCUUAGGUUCGGAAUAACUCCCCGAAAGGGGUGCUAAUACCGGAUAAUGUCUUCGGACCAAAGAUUUAUCGCCUUUGGACGGGCCCGCGUUGGAUUAGCUAGUUGGUAGGGUAAAAGCCUACCAAGGCGACGAUCCAUAGCUGGUCUGAGAGGAUGAUCAGCCACACUGGGACUGAGACACGGCCCAGACUCCUACGGGAGGCAGCAGUGGGGAAUAUUGGACAAUGGGCGAAAGCCUGAUUCAGCAAUGCCGCGUGAGUGAUGAAGGCCUUAGGGUUGUAAAGCUCUUUUACCCGGGAUGAUAAUGACAGUACCGGGAGAAUAAGCUCCGGCUAACUCCGUG
This 433-nucleotide ribosomal RNA is filed under the name uncultured bacterium. Its description in RNAcentral is "partial 16S ribosomal RNA". It matches the Rfam family "Bacterial small subunit ribosomal RNA", at positions 29 to 507 of the family's 1533-position model. The record is from RNAcentral.